UACAGAGGGUGCGAGCGUUGUCCGGAAUCACUGGGCGUAAAGGGCGCGUAGGUGGCGCGACAAGUCAGUGGUGAAAGCUCGACGCUCAACGUCGAGUCGGCCACUGAGACUGUUGGGCUUGAGCACUGUAGAGGCUAAUGGAAUUCCGGGUGUAGCGGUGGAAUGCGUAGAGAUCCGGAAGAACACCGGUGGCGAAGGCGGUUAGCUGGGCAGUUGCUGACACUGAGGCGCGACAGCGUGGGGAGCAAACAGGG
This 254-nucleotide ribosomal RNA is filed under the name uncultured bacterium. RNAcentral describes it as "partial 16S ribosomal RNA". It matches the Rfam family "Bacterial small subunit ribosomal RNA", at positions 524 to 777 of the family's 1533-position model. The record is from RNAcentral.